GGCGAAAUGGCCGAGUGGUCUAAGGCGCCAGACUAAGGAGGGAGGAGGGCGUGAGUGGUUCCUUUCCAUCAACUCGAUUAUUGAGUACCGAAUUAUCUGGUCUUUCGGGGCGUGGGUUCGAGUCCCACUUUCGUCA
Non-coding RNA from Guyanagaster necrorhizus, 136 nucleotides. The record is from the annotation of a RefSeq genome assembly. NCBI's taxonomy places the organism in Eukaryota, Fungi, Basidiomycota, Agaricomycetes, Agaricales, Physalacriaceae.